CUUUGCUUACCACCAGUUUCACUUUAGAAGUAGAAACAAAGGAUCAAGGGAGUGUGUAAGGCGUAUUUGGGAGCGGUUCGGGACAGGUAGGGCAAGUCCCAACAGAACAUAUGAAACCGCUGCAGAGCUGAGCAACCUGAGCUCUUGGACCCGUUCUUACAUGCACACUCGUGGCUACUUGUCGACUUUGUAAUAUGUUCUACAUCAUCAAACAACACUUAUUUGCCAGUAUAUUUAUUGUAUAAAAAUUAGGGCCGGGACUCGAUUAAAAAUAUUAAUCUAAUUAAUUAGAGGCUUUGUAAUUAAUUAAUCGCAUUCUAAUUGCAUAAAUAUUUGACCUGAGAACAGUGAGAAGUAAUUUUUUUCACAUGGAUUUUUAUUUUUGUCAACCAAUUCCAGCAGAGUGUGUUGUGUUGUGGAUUCCAGCCUGAGAAUCUAUGAGAAUUGAGGUUGGAUUCAAAAGCAUCAACAGGUGUGUGGUGGAACAGUGCAGGGAGAUAGCAGGAAGGCUGAAGUGUGGAGGAUCCUCAGUUCAAACCUGCUCUCUCAGAAGGAGAGUUUGGUUGCAGUCAUGGCUUCAAACUGUAAACUUUGAAACAGUUUUGAGGUUUAGUAAACAAUCCCAAGGUCUAAUAUGAGAAACGGACACAAUGAGGCAUGUGCUUGAAUAGCACAAGGGAACAGCUGAAGGGCUGCAGGCUCCAACCUGCUGUCUGAGGUUGUGGGUUCAUGCCCCUUCAUGCAGACAUCACUUCUGCUUUUAAAGAGUUUUGAGGUUUGAGUAGCAGUCUCAAGGUUAAAUACGAGAAACAAAGGUUUGAUUAGUGUGUGGUGAAGUAGCACAGUGGAAGAGCUGCUGCCACAAGCCUGCACUGAACUUGAAGGUUGAUGGUUCAAGCCCAGAUGUGGAAAUAGCUUUUAAAAAGAGUUUUGAGGUCUAGCUCACAUGCUCAAGGUUAAAUACAACAAACAAAGGGUUGUUUAGUGUGUGGUGAAGUAGCACAGCGGAAGAGCUGCUGCACUGCACUUGAAGUUUGAUGGUUCAAGCCCAGAUGUGGAAAUAGCAUUUAAGAGAUUUUUAAAGUUUAACUCACAUGCUCAAGGUUAAAUAGGAGAAUCAAAGUUGCCAAAAUGUGACCAGGACUGGUAGUGUAGGGGUGCAAGCUAGAGCCCAGAAGCCUCUGUGCGCACCGCCAGUGGGUUCAAAUCCCGCUCGUGCCAAGUCUUGAGCACACUGCCGCGGAGGUAGUAGUGGGGGCAUUGUCCCCACGGUUGUUUCAGAGAAGUAAACUCUGGGGGUUAUGCAGAAACACAAGGCGCGUUCACUUGAGUUAUGAUGGCAUUGUCAAGAAUGAUGAAGAAUCUUUUGCUGAUGAAUUGAAUUUGAUGUUAAUUGCUUUGCUUUAGCCUUUUAGCACUUAUUAGCAGAGGUGGGAACAAGUCACUGUUAUGCAAGUCAUUGCCCUCGAGUCCCGAGUCAAGUCGAGUCAAAGACGAAGCAAGUCCCAAGUCGAGUCACAAGUCAAAGCCAACAAGUCUCAAGUCGAGUCACAAGUUGUACCAUUUUAGUUUCGAGUCAAUUCAAGUCAUUUAAUUGAAUCUUCUAGAAUCUUUUGCUGAUGAAUUGAAUUUGAUGUUAAUUGCUUUGCUUUAGCCUUUUAGCACUUAUUAGCCAUGCUACGUAGUGGAGAGAGAAGGCCGGAUGAGUCAGUAAAGAUGAGCAGAUGUGUCUCAUUCAGUGGUCACACUGACAUGAAACUUAUUACAGCCUCUGAGGGAGAGUUUGUCUACUUCAGGGCAUCCUGUGGACAACCUUAAACUGACAGUCUGGCACAGGGUGUAGAUUUGUUUACCCUUUUUAGUGCAUCCACCCUCCAAUUCUCUGUUACAUUCAAAUUCAACUCACUUGUGCCUUUACCAAUGCAGGAAGGAUGAAUAGCAUGGUUGAUCCUCCAAGAUGCACCAAUCCGUCUCUGGGGCAAUAUCCCAUUAUGAUUUUUUCUAAAUGUCAGUUACCCAAAACUAACAAAGGAUUUAGGAAGAGCCGCCAUGUCCCUUGAGGGUUGAACCCAGAUAAGGUUUAAAGUACAGAAAUUUGGGGCAUUUGGCAUUAGUGACAGGGACGUGUAGGUUGCUCCAUCUAAGAUCAUUCCAGUCAUGUCAUGGGAAAAAAAUAUUGUGAAAAAAGUCAAAAUAUG
This is a long non-coding RNA of Pungitius pungitius (ninespine stickleback), 2198 nucleotides long. RefSeq lists it as uncharacterized. The record is from RefSeq and is a predicted model, not a curated record. NCBI's taxonomy places the organism in Eukaryota, Metazoa, Chordata, Actinopteri, Perciformes, Gasterosteidae. The transcript has 2 exons.